UGUAAAUUUAUGUCGACUUCUAUUUUGUCUUUUUGUUAAAUAGUUGUAAAGUUACUGAUAUGACUAUCACAAAAGAAACGUCUUGUUACUCGAGUAUUGACAUAGUGCAAUUGGACCCUAGAGUAAUAGAAGAAGAAAAAAAAAACUCCUGUGCAGUAAAGAAUCUUGUUUUACUGUUUCACUUGAUGUAUAGGUUAUAUAUAUAUAUUCGCUAUGUCUGGAAUAAGAUGGGGAAAAUUUUGGUCUUUAGUGUAUACUUCGGCAUGAUCAUAAACUGUCGGAAAUUGUAUGAAGACGACUAGAGUUACUAACUGUGAUAUGUUGUUAAUGGAAGACUGAUAAACUUUAUUUUUAUAGAUUUUUCUGUAUUUAUGAGUGGAAUAUUAUUA
Molecule: long non-coding RNA, 389 nt
Filed under: Androctonus crassicauda
Lineage: Eukaryota; Metazoa; Arthropoda; Arachnida; Scorpiones; Buthidae
Source: RNAcentral